CAUCGAUGGAACGAGCAAACCUUCCACUUCUGCGUCAACAGACUGGAAAGCUGGAGAAAGAGAGCAAAUGUUAUUGAGAGACUUACUGAAACAGUUAUUCUGUAACUGAAGUCCCAGUCAACAUCAGCCCUCUGCCUUCUGAUUCAGUUUCCUGACCAAGUGUGUGACACAGGGCAAUAAAGUAAUUAGAACUCUCUCAAGCCCCUCCAAAAGAGUCAAUACAUAGGUUCAUGAACAGUGUGCUGGCAAUAAAAAACAGGUUUAGUUUCACAGUAGACAGAGCAGAGACAUCAGAGCUGUGUACAUCGUCAAGCAUCAAGUCUGAAAACGUAGAAAUUGCUCCAUCUGCUUCUAAUGAUUCACAGAAGUACAAUGACAUCUU
Girardinichthys multiradiatus is the source of this 382-nucleotide long non-coding RNA. RefSeq lists it as uncharacterized. The transcript is spliced from 4 exons. NCBI's taxonomy places the organism in Eukaryota, Metazoa, Chordata, Actinopteri, Cyprinodontiformes, Goodeidae. The record is from RefSeq and is a predicted model, not a curated record.